RNAcentral lists this long non-coding RNA (3052 nucleotides) under Nicotiana tabacum (common tobacco). RNAcentral's name for it is "long non-coding RNA (NTAB_LNC010874)". The stretch from base 1 to 829 matches the Rfam family "Bacterial large subunit ribosomal RNA", at positions 2079 to 2925 of the family's 2925-position model. Lineage: Eukaryota; Viridiplantae; Streptophyta; Magnoliopsida; Solanales; Solanaceae. The record is from RNAcentral.
GACGGUAAGACCCCGUGCACCUUAACUAUAGCUUCGCAGUGACAACCUUAAUCGAAUGUGUAAGAUAGGUGGGAGGUGGUGACACACAACGACCAAUCCUGAAAGACCACUCUUUCGUCUAAGGAUGCCUAACUAUCAUACCGAUCAUUCGGGGGGAGGCGGGAUACUGCGAGGUGGGUAGUUUAUCUGGGGCGGAUGCCUCCUAAAGAGUAACGGAGGUGUGCGAAGGUAGGCUCAAGCUAAGAUUAUGCUUGUGAGCGUAAUCGUAUAAGUUUGCCUGACUGUGAAACCGACUGGUCGAACAGAGACAAAAGUCGGCCAUAGUGAUCCGGGAGUCCCGUGUGGAAGGGUUCUCGCUCAAUGGAUCAAAGAUACACUGGGGAUAAUAGGCUGAUGACUCCCAAGAGCUCUUAUCGACGUAGUCGUUUGGCACCUCAAUGUCGACUCAUCACAUCCUGAGGUUGAAGAAGGUCCCAAGGGUUCGGUUAUUCUCCGAUUCAAGUGGUACGUGGAUUGGGUUUAGAACGUCGUGAGACAGUAAGGAAGAAAAAAUCUGCAAGGAGCCAAUCCUAGUACGAUAGGACUAGGUUGGGCUAACCUAUGGUGUAUCGGGUGUUAUGCCAAUAGCAGCACCGGGCAGCUAAGCUAGUAUGGAAGAACCGCUGCGCCGCGGAAAAUCCUUUUCUAUACAAGUUCUCGGAUGAGGUUUUUGAACAGAACUUCGAUAGGCGAGAGGUGUAAGAAUNNNNNNNNNNNNNNNNNNNNNNNNNNNNNNNNNNNNUAACAAAAAUAAAAGAAAGUACAACCUAUUCCUAAAAUUGUGGUCAGUCUCGCUACCUCUUUAGUUGCCGCCCCCUACUUGCUCAUUUGCAAUUACUACCACAAGAAAGUCGCGCCCUUCUCUAAAGGGACUUAUGCACUUUACGACUUUCUUAUGUUAUGGGAUCUCGAAGAUUGAAUUUAGCUUCCAACCUUAGUCAGCAAGCUGAAAAACUUUCUUAAGAACAUGAAAAGCGGGGACUCUUUAACUUGGCAAAAUAUAGAUAAAAAAAUAAAAACAAUGGGGGGGAGGGGGGGUCGUGGUCUAAAGAAAUGAAUAGAAAAAAAAAAUGGAGGGGUCGACCGGGCCAGAUCAUGAGUGAAUAGAAAAAAAAUAUACAUAGCUGUUCCAGCUGAAAUACUUAGAAUAAUUCUACCACUUCUACUAGGAGUAGCCUUUUUAGCGCUAGAUGAACGUAAAGUAAUGAAUUUUGUGCAACGUCAAAAGGGUCCUGAUGUAGUGGGAUCGUUUGGAUUGUUACAACCUCUAGGAGAUGGUUUGAAAUUGAUUCUAAAAGAACCUAUUUUACCAAGUCUGGUCGCUCGGGCCGUUGUACCUUUUUAUUAAGGUAUGGUAUUGUCAGAUCCGAACAUAUGGCUACUUUAUUUAUUUGCCAUAUCUUUGCUAGGUGUUUAUGGAAUUAUUAUAGCAGGUUGGUCAAGUAAUUAGGAGGCGGUCGUUCGGCCGCCUAUGAUACUAGGACCAAUAGGUUCAAAAUGGGUUUGUGCCGCAGGUGUUGAACGAUCUACUCUACACAUGUAUGGGCUUACAGGGCUAGGUCUCAUAAACCCUUUCUUUCAUUUAUCAAUAGGGACCUGUCCUGGUCGGUCACUUUUCUGGGCCAGGAUCGAUAAGUGAAAGUCAUAAAAAAGAAAUCUUUCUCUUCACACCUCAGAUCAAGAGGAAGGGUUGCUUGUCAAGCUGGCUUACAUAUAAUAAUAAAAAAUUUCUUUCUAUUUUAUAUAAUUAUAAGAAAAAUGGAAAGAUUUAUGAAUCAGUAAAAUUAAACAAGUCUACCUCUAUUUUUUAUAAGAUACAUGAAUCAAUAAAAUUAAAUAAUAGACCAUCAAGUCAUGUAACCAGGAAAUGAACAAAUAAUAAUUGAUAGAAGAAAUGGGGAGCAGUAAACGAAAUGAAAGGAUAGGACAAGAGAAAAGUAACUUUGGAUGCUGAUGAUGAGCUUUUCUUGAUUUUUGGAUUGGAUGGGAAUUGAUGCAUACACAAGGCUAUUUAUAUGUGAAAAUAAUAGGCUUACGGGACGUAGUCACUUGACACUUUUCCUAGUUCGUAUGCCAAGUAUUUUGAGCUUUGCCAUUUUUUCAUGAGCGCAUGCAGUCUUUUGUCCAAUUGUAAAAAUCUUGCCAUGCACCAAUCUUCUUAGAGUAUUUCUACACAAGGCUUCAUGCAAGAAGCCACUUGUAAAAUUUUUAAAUAAUCUUUUGUCAUACAUAUAUUAAUUAUCUAACAAUAUAAUAUCCCAUUUUUCUAUCUGCUAGACUAUUUGCAUUCCCUUUGAUUGAGAAAUUUCCUUACUCAAAACUUUAUUUAAACUAAUUUUGUUAAGAAGUUAAUUCCAGUAUUCCCAAUGAUAGUUUAUCAUGAAAUAAUUCCAAAAAAUGUUCUCUUUUUACACUUGUUUAUGCGACCAAAGGGCUAUCUUGCGUAAUUACUCCACUUAAUUUGGUAGAAAUUAGGAUGUUCUUUAACUGUACUUUACUGUGAGCAAAAUUGAUUAUUUGGAAGUUCAUCUUAGUAUAAAAUGAAAAGGAUCAUAGCUUCAAACCAUAUACCGUGAUAUUUCAUUAAUUAUUCAAAGUUUCAAAAUUUAACAGCAGAUUAUAAAUAGAUAGAUAUCAAAUCAAGCUGAUGCAACCAACAAUUUGAUCAAAUAUCAGAGUGGAGAAGUUUUAUUUUGAGUGAUACUCAACCAACAAUAGUUGUAUGAGGUCAUAUACUAAGCUUGACAUAAAAUAUGUCUAUAGGCGAAGGGAUGAAAGCCCCACGACGGUAAGACCUCGUGCACCUUAACUAUAGCUUCGCAGUGACAACCUUAAUCGAAUGUGUAAGAUAGGUGGGAGGUGGUGACACACAACGACCAAUCCUGAAAGACCACUCUUUCGUCUAAGGAUGUCUAACUAUCAUACCGAUCAUUCGGGGGGAGGCGGGACACUGCGAGGUGGGUAGUUUAUCUGGGGCGGAUGCCUCCUAAAGAGUAACGGAGGUGUGUGAAGG